AAAGUCGUAACAAGGUUUCCGUAGGUGAACCUGCGGAAGGAUCAUCACUGAAAGAAGUGUUUUUAUUUUGUGUGGAACUGCUUUUUCUUAGUUUGACCAACAACAAAACCAAUGAGAAACAACUUUUAACAAUGGAUCUCUUGGCUCUC
This 149-nucleotide unclassified non-coding RNA is filed under the name Chytridiomycota sp. Its description in RNAcentral is "partial contains small subunit ribosomal RNA, internal transcribed spacer 1, and 5.8S ribosomal RNA". The stretch from base 1 to 47 matches the Rfam family "Eukaryotic small subunit ribosomal RNA", at positions 1785 to 1831 of the family's 1831-position model. Lineage: Eukaryota; Fungi; Chytridiomycota. The record is from RNAcentral.